RNAcentral lists this ribosomal RNA (256 nucleotides) under uncultured bacterium. RNAcentral describes it as "partial 16S ribosomal RNA". It matches the Rfam family "Bacterial small subunit ribosomal RNA", at positions 521 to 776 of the family's 1533-position model. The record is from RNAcentral.
UAAUACGAAGGGGGCUAGCGUUGUUCGGAAUUACUGGGCGUAAAGCGCGCGCAGGCGGUUUGGUAAGUUAGGGGUGAAAUCCCCGGGCUCAACCCGGGAAUGGCCUUUAAGACUGCCAGGCUAGAGGACGAGAGAGGUGAGUGGAAUUCCCAGUGUAGAGGUGAAAUUCGUAGAUAUUGGGAAGAACACCGGUGGCGAAGGCGGCUCACUGGCUCGUUUCUGACGCUGAGGCGCGAAAGCGUGGGGAGCAAACAGG